This 526-nucleotide ribosomal RNA is filed under the name Bifidobacterium breve. RNAcentral's name for it is "bacterial SSU rRNA". It matches the Rfam family "Bacterial small subunit ribosomal RNA", at positions 160 to 696 of the family's 1533-position model. The record is from RNAcentral. Lineage: Bacteria; Bacillati; Actinomycetota; Actinomycetes; Bifidobacteriales; Bifidobacteriaceae.
GUGGUAAUGCCGGAUGCUCCAUCACACCGCAUGGUGUGUUGGGAAAGCCUUUGCGGCAUGGGAUGGGGUCGCGUCCUAUCAGCUUGAUGGCGGGGUAACGGCCCACCAUGGCUUCGACGGGUAGCCGGCCUGAGAGGGCGACCGGCCACAUUGGGACUGAGAUACGGCCCAGACUCCUACGGGAGGCAGCAGUGGGGAAUAUUGCACAAUGGGCGCAAGCCUGAUGCAGCGACGCCGCGUGAGGGAUGGAGGCCUUCGGGUUGUAAACCUCUUUUGUUAGGGAGCAAGGCAUUUUGUGUUGAGUGUACCUUUCGAAUAAGCACCGGCUAACUACGUGCCAGCAGCCGCGGUAAUACGUAGGGUGCAAGCGUUAUCCGGAAUUAUUGGGCGUAAAGGGCUCGUAGGCGGUUCGUCGCGUCCGGUGUGAAAGUCCAUCGCUUAACGGUGGAUUCGCGCCGGGUACGGGCGGGCUUGAGUGCGGUAGGGGAGACUGGAAUUCCCGGUGUAACGGUGGAAUGUGUAGAUA